Molecule: non-coding RNA, 267 nt
Organism: Paramuricea clavata
Lineage: Eukaryota; Metazoa; Cnidaria; Anthozoa; Malacalcyonacea; Plexauridae
Source: the annotation of a GenBank genome assembly
UUUAUUUAUUUAUUUAGCUUUGCCAACUAGGGCAGGGUCACCACAACAGCAUGUGCCAAUUACUGUGGGCCCUUUUUACCUAACCCACCCUGUCAACUUUCCCUGUGGGAGGAAACCGGAGUACCCGGGGAAAACCCACGGCUUUCGGCAGAGCGUUGACUUUUACUCUUUUCACAUGGGGACUGGGUUCGAGUCGCACUGAGAAGGUACUUAGUGAGACUCGAACCUGCAGCCUCAGAGGUGAAAGGCAAGUGCGCUAACCACUUG